Molecule: ribosomal RNA, 505 nt
Filed under: uncultured bacterium
Lineage: Bacteria
Description: partial 16S ribosomal RNA
Rfam family: Bacterial small subunit ribosomal RNA
Source: RNAcentral
GACGAACGCUGGCGGCGUGCCUAAUACAUGCAAGUAGAACGCACAGUUUAUACCGUAGCUUGCUACACCAUAAACUGUGAGUUGCGAACGGGUGAGUAACGCGUAGGUAACCUGCCUGGUAGCGGGGGAUAACUAUUGGAAACGAUAGCUAAUACCGCAUAAUAUUAAUUAUUGCAUGAUAAUUGAUUGAAAGAUGCAAUUGCAUCACUACCAGAUGGACCUGCGUUGUAUUAGCUAGUAGGUGAGGUAACGGCUCACCUAGGCGACGAUACAUAGCCGACCUGAGAGGGUGAUCGGCCACACUGGGACUGAGACACGGCCCAGACUCCUACGGGAGGCAGCAGUAGGGAAUCUUCGGCAAUGGACGAAAGUCUGACCGAGCAACGCCGCGGGAGUGAAGAAGGGUGUCGGAUCGUAAAGCUCUGUUGUAAGAGAAGAACGGGUGUGAGAGUGGAAAGUUCACACUGUGACGGUAGCUUACCAGAAAGGGACGGCUAACUACGUG